GGGGUUUUGUAAGAAAGGUUUUUCUGGUUAUUCAUAAUUUUCUUGUCAAAAUAAAUGUUAAGUUGAAGUGAUUUGCAUUGUUACAGGCAAGAUGAAACUCAUUCGGAGCGUCCUAUGGGCUGCUAAUGCUUUCAAAUUACGAUCUUCGGAUCAUCCUCAAGCUUUCAGGACCUUUUCAACACUCCCAAAUUUUGGUAUUCAAGGGAAGACUGAAAGCAAAAUAUACAGUAAUCAGAACUCAAUUUCGGGAACGAAUGGUUGCUCAACAUGUAAUGUUGGUAGGAGGUGUUUCUUACAUUCUGGUAGCCCAAAGGAAGCUGAAAUGGGAAACAAUUAUAGGCCGAUGGACUUUGUUAGAGGACUUACGGAGGACAAUGCAAGGCGUUUUCCGAGUGGUGCUCCACUUUCUAGGUAUCACAUUGAGCAGGAUGCUGAUAUUGUUCAUAUAAAGGUUCUUCGCAACAAUGCCUUUGUAACUGUGACAGAUUCGAAAGGGAAUAAAAAGUUUGGAGCUAGUGCAGGUAAGCUAACAGGAAAAGGAGGGAAAGUUGCAAGAUACUCUGCUGAAUCAACUGCUGAACAUGUUGGGCGUGAAGCCAGGGACCGAGGCUUGGGGUCUGUGGUCAUGAAAGUAAAUGGGUUUACUUACUUUAAGAAAAAGAAGCAAGCUAUUCUAAGCUUCAGAGAGGGCUACACUCAUUCUCGUGGAGAUAAGAACCCUGUGGUAUUCAUUGAGGACACAACACGAAAACCCCAUAAUGGAUGCCGCCUCACAAAGAAGCGUCGCAUCUAAUUGCUAAUCAGGUUGUGUUACAGGGAAUGAAAUCCUUUUGACAGUUUAAUAAACAGUCCCUGCUUGAUUUUGGAGGC
This 870-nucleotide unclassified non-coding RNA is filed under the name Hevea brasiliensis (rubber tree). The record is from RNAcentral. Lineage: Eukaryota; Viridiplantae; Streptophyta; Magnoliopsida; Malpighiales; Euphorbiaceae.